RNAcentral lists this ribosomal RNA (261 nucleotides) under uncultured prokaryote. Its description in RNAcentral is "partial 16S ribosomal RNA". It matches the Rfam family "Bacterial small subunit ribosomal RNA", at positions 524 to 784 of the family's 1533-position model. The record is from RNAcentral.
UACGGAGGAUGCGAGCGUUAUCCGGAUUUAUUGGGUUUAAAGGGUGCGUAGGCGGCUUUUUAAGUCAGCGGUGAAAUUUUGCAGCUUAACUGUAACAGUGCCGUUGAUACUGGGGAGCUAGGAUUUGGUUGUAGUGUGCGGGAUGUGUGGUGUAGCGGUGAAAUGCUUAGAUAUCACACAGAACACCGAUUGCGAAGGCAGCACACUAAGUCAUUAUUGACGCUGAGGCACGAAAGUGUGGGGAUCAAACAGGAUUAGAUA